CUCUCCCUCCCUCCUUUCCUCGAGAUUGACGUUUGACAGGACCACAUCAUGAGAAAGCUCAGCGUUUAAUGUUUGCUUCGGGUUAGGCCAGGCCAAGGAGCAUCAUCGAAACACUCCUCUGGAUGUGUCUGAGAAAAUUUCAAGAAAUAUUUAACUAAUGAAGGAAGACCUGCUCUAAAUAUGGGUAGAGCCAUCCCAUGGGUUCAGGUCCUGGGAAGAAUGAAAAAGAGACAGUCAGCUGAGCACCACUAUUCACUCUUCUGCUUCCUGACCUUGUUCAACAAGCCACCUUACACACUUGCUGAGGUGCCCUCCCCACCAUGAUGAACCAUACCCUCAAGCUGCGAGUUCACAUAAACCCUGUCUUCUUUAA
Long non-coding RNA from Peromyscus eremicus (cactus mouse), 373 nucleotides. RefSeq lists it as uncharacterized. Lineage: Eukaryota; Metazoa; Chordata; Mammalia; Rodentia; Cricetidae. The transcript has 2 exons. The record is from RefSeq and is a predicted model, not a curated record.